Molecule: ribosomal RNA, 356 nt
Filed under: Onchidium reevesii
Lineage: Eukaryota; Metazoa; Mollusca; Gastropoda; Systellommatophora; Onchidiidae
Description: partial 16S ribosomal RNA
Rfam family: Archaeal large subunit ribosomal RNA
Source: RNAcentral
AGUACCCUGACUGUGCUAAGGUAGCGUAAUCAGUUGGCUUUUAAAUGAAGUCGAGAAUGAAUGGGUCCACGGGAAUAAGCUGUCUCUUUUGUUUUUCCAUGAAAUUAUUUAGAAGGUGAAAAUCCCUUCAACGAGAAAAAAGACGAGAAGACCCUUAGAGUUUUAUGUUUAGCUUGUUAGUUUUUGCUGGGGCGGCAAGGAGACAGUUAACUCUCCAAUUUUAAAUAAGAUGACCUUAAUGAGAAGUUUCAAUAAACUACCUUAGGGAUAACAGCAUAAUUAAUUUUAGUUUGUGACCUCGAUGUUGGACUAGGGAUCUUUUGGCUAGCAGCCAAAAGUGAUGGUUCUGUUCGAAC